RNAcentral lists this ribosomal RNA (462 nucleotides) under Triticum aestivum (bread wheat). Its description in RNAcentral is "partial small subunit ribosomal RNA". Lineage: Eukaryota; Viridiplantae; Streptophyta; Magnoliopsida; Poales; Poaceae. The record is from RNAcentral.
AUGGCCGCAACGAAACUCGCCCUCGUCAUCCUCGUCGCCGCCACGGUAGCCUGCACCUGCAACAGCCAGGUGCAACUGUGUGACUACGAGUUUGUUGCCUCGACGUUCAAUGAAAAUUGGGCGGGCACGGACUCAGAUCUGACGUUCACCGUGUUCAGCACGGAGGUCGUGGGCGGCGUCGCCAUGAAAACUCUGCAAAGUGCCGCUGGUUCCAGGUUCGACGUGGGCAGUAAGACCAAGUUCACCAUCCAGGGCGGGCCGUGCGUGAAGCCAUGCGGCCUCCGCCUGGAGGUUCACAAAACCUGGUGGCUAGAGGUCGGGAGCGACUGGAAGUGCCGUUCCGUCGACCUCUUGGUAAAGCGGAACGGGGCGGUGCAGUGGCAUUUCUAUAUCAUCUUCAAUCAGUGGGUGAAAGACGGCUCCCCCGUGGAAUACAAGCCGGCGCAGUGCCCGAUCCUCUAG